AGUGAACGCUGGCGGUAGGCCUAACACAUGCAAGUCGAACGGCAGCACAGUAAGAGCUUGCUCUUACGGGUGGCGAGUGGCGGACGGGUGAGGAAUACAUCGGAAUCUACUUUUUCGUGGGGGAUAACGUAGGGAAACUUACGCUAAUACCGCGUACGACCUACGGGUGAAAGCAGGGGAUCUUCGGACCUUGCGCGAUUGAAUGAGCCGAUGUCGGAUUAGCUAGUUGGCGGGGUAAAGGCCCACCAAGGCGACGAUCCGUAGCUGGUCUGAGAGGAUGAUCAGCCACACUGGAACUGAGACACGGUCCAGACUCCUACGGGAGGCAGCAGUGGGGAAUAUUGGACAAUGGGCGCAAGCCUGAUCCAGUCAUACCGCGUGGGUGAAGAAGGCCUUCGGGUUGUAAAGCCCUUUUGUUGGGAAAGAAAAGCAGCAGGUUAAUACCCCGCUGUUCUGACGGUACCCAAAGAAUAAGCACCGGCUAACUUCGUG
RNAcentral lists this ribosomal RNA (492 nucleotides) under uncultured bacterium. Its description in RNAcentral is "partial 16S ribosomal RNA". It matches the Rfam family "Bacterial small subunit ribosomal RNA", at positions 29 to 507 of the family's 1533-position model. The record is from RNAcentral.